GAAGAUUAAUCGUGAGAGGGGUCUCUAUCUCCUUCUUCAGUGCUUUCUUUCCCCCAUUUCUUCAUUGUCUCGCAUUUGCCUCUUACGUUUCUUCCGAAGAUAGGAUUUCAUUUUUUUUUCUGGAGUCGACUCUGGUUUUUAGGUUGGUUUUGAGUUUAUUCCGGAGUUGUUUGAGGUGGGUUUUGGAAGAUGAUGAGAUUGUGAGUGAAGAUUGAGAGAGGGUUGUGAUUGUGGAGACGGGCUGGUGAUAAAUUUGGCACUAGACACUCCUUGAAUGAAGAGAGGAAAAAAAAAGAAACUAGACCCGACUGUCGAGGAUGAGUGGAGAUCAGAGCACGGGGACACAACCGACUAUGGAGGACAAGACGGCCGCCUAUGGAGGAGUGUCGAGAUGAGAGCACGAGACACAUCCAACCAACCUAUGGAGAAGUGUGGAGAUGAGUAUGGAGAAGUGUGGAAAUGAGAGCACGAGACACAGCUGGAGGAGAAGACGCUCGACUAUGGAGGAGAAGAGAGGGAAAAACGGGAAAAGAUGGGCUGAGAGGGGGAGAGAACAGGUAGAAAAUGAGGGAAGAGAGGGAACAAACGGGAAAAUGGGCUGAGAGGGGGAGACAACAGGUAGCCAGUUUUCCUUUUUUCAUUUUUUUCUUUUUCUUUUCAAUGGCUGAGAUUUAAACUAUUGCAUCCAACGGCUACAAAAAAUCUGAGGUAUGGUACCUCCCUCAGCACCAUAGAAGUUUCCUUUUAUAAAUAUUUAUACUUGGCCUUUACGUAAUUUAAGACUUGCCAAAUACACCUCAGCAAUCUUGCUUUCACCAAUCGUUCAUCAUUAUCUCCCAUAAGCCAUCAACCAGCUGUACCCAGCCUCACCCACUGCGCACCUAGCCUUCUCAAAUCGUACACCUAGUUCCUUGUAGCUGCAACCAGCCGUCCCAUCCCUUGCAACAACCCAUUCUUUGGGCUGGCCAAGAUACAUCUCUGUGAUCAUCACCCGCUGCUUGCUGCCAUAGCCAUACUCUCCUUUCGACUGAUAAAAGCCAUUCUACGAGAAGAAGGCAGUAGAGAGUAGAGCUUCUCUCACCCUCUUUCUCUCUCUGAUUUUCCAUAUUUUCUCUCUCUAGAGAUUCUCAAAAAAUUUUCUCUCUCCUCUUUCUAUGCUUUCUCUCUAAAUACAUCUCUUCCAUCUGCUUUUUAAAUGCGUAGAAACCCUUUCGUCUAUAUAGUAGAGAUGAUCGCCUUCUUGGAUCCUCCAAACUAUCGAUUUUUCCGCUCAAUUUAGAGUAAAUUUUAAAGAAAAAUUGCGCUUCUUUUUCCAUCUCUAUCUACAUUUUAUGUGUUCGCCCAAUUCUGCUCCCUGAAGUUUUCCUUUUCUUUUACUUUUGUUUGCUGCGCCUUUUUAGUGCAAAACCCGGGUUUUCACCAAAUGUUGGUUGUUUUAUCCCCAAAUUUCGUUGAUUUAACCUUCUUUGACGCUUCACUUUUGCUUUUCUCCUUUUGUUGCCUCACUACUUUGGAUUCUGAACCAGGAUUCUUGGUUUGUGGUCUUAGUUUGAGGACUAUAGAUCGUUGUACCCAGGAGUACAAUUUGUAUGAGCUUUACUGGUUUUUGUAUGAUCUUGCCAUCUGUAUUGAGUGUGAAGUCAACGUCCUAUUGUUUUUAUUCCGAGCCGACGGUUGUUAGAUGAUCCUGUUGGUUUCUGGGUUUGAAGGGUUGAUGCUUUGUCGACAAGAUGCAGCCCGAUCAGCGACGAAAGGCAUCUGUGGAGGUAGAUUUCUUCACUGAAUCACACAUCAUUUUCUUGCAAUUCAAUUCUAAACUGGAAAAGGGUAAUCUAGAAUCAAAGCCCAAAGAACCCAUAAAAAACCCGAAGAAAUUACAAUCGGGAAUUUUCCCCCAUUUCUUCAUUGUCUCGCAUUUGCCUCUUACGUUUCUUCCGAAGAUAGGAUUUCCUUUUUUUUUUCUGGAGUAGACUCUGGUUUUUAGGUUGGUUUUGAGUUUAUUCCGGAGUUGUUUGAGGUGGGUUUUGGAAGAUGAUGAGAUUGUGAG
This 2047-nucleotide long non-coding RNA is filed under the name Vitis vinifera (wine grape). Its description in RNAcentral is "long non-coding RNA (VVIN_LNC006313)". The record is from RNAcentral. Lineage: Eukaryota; Viridiplantae; Streptophyta; Magnoliopsida; Vitales; Vitaceae.